This 253-nucleotide ribosomal RNA is filed under the name uncultured bacterium. RNAcentral describes it as "partial 16S ribosomal RNA". It matches the Rfam family "Bacterial small subunit ribosomal RNA", at positions 524 to 776 of the family's 1533-position model. The record is from RNAcentral.
UACGUAGGGUGCAAGCAUUAAUCGGAUUUAUUGGGCGUAAAGGGCGCGUAGGCGGAAAUGCCAGUCAGAUGUGAAAUCCCGGGGCUCAACCCCGGAACAGCAUUUGAAACUACAUUUCUAGAGGGUAGGCGGAGAAAACGGAAUUCCACAAGUAGCGGUGAAAUGCGUAGAUAUCUGAAGGAACACCAGUGGCGAAAGCGGCUUCCUGGUCCAGUACCGACGUUCAGGCACGAAAGCGUGGGGAGCAAACAGG